AUUUUGGCACAUAUGCCAAAAUUGGAAUAAUACAGAGAAGAUGAGCAUGGCCCUGUGCAAGGAUGACAUGCAAAUUCCUGAAGCAUUCCAUAUUUUU
This 97-nucleotide small nuclear RNA is filed under the name Castor canadensis (American beaver). The record is from RNAcentral. Lineage: Eukaryota; Metazoa; Chordata; Mammalia; Rodentia; Castoridae.